ACGCAUAUAGUUCUUGAGCCGUACGUAGAGGAGGAGCUCAGGUGGUGUGGAGUUUCGUCGACGUCGCGCAGCGGUGCCGUUCGAGCGUGUGUUCGUCGUCGUAGCAUCGCGAGGGGGGCCGGGCGAGGGUCCGAUUCUGCCGUUUUUGUUGUCGCGCCGGAUUGUGAUUAGCGUUUGAGGUGGGUUACAUCGGCUUUACUCCUAAGUUCUUAUUGGUCGACAUGUAUAGAUCUUGAUUUCGGUCAUUAAUUUAGCUCAAAUUCAUGGACUAUAUGUAGAUUGUGAAAUCUGAAUUUUGGAGCAUAUUUUAUAAAUUAAGUAGAUCAUACAUGUUGGACUUGGAAAUUGAAUUAGGAGAAAACCUACGAUUUGGACCUGUCACCAGUUUUAACUACCUGAUUUAGCUCUAGGAGCCGUUAGAAAAUUGUACUGUCGCAGUUCUUCGAGACGAGUACUCCAGGUAGUUUAGAAUGUAUUUACACUCGUGCUCGUUCGCCGAGUGGAUUUUUACAGGGUCGUUCAGGUUGUUUCGGACUGUUGGGUGCCGUCAGAGUUGACGGUGGACCCGUAUCGCCUUUUUGGGCGUCAGAUUGUGCCGAGGGCACGUUACCUAUUGGUUGUUAGACCAGUUUGAGUCGAUUACUUGACUUUGGCUAGUUGGAGCCUGUUUGAGCUCGACAGAGAUACGCUGCAUACUCGGUUGGGUAGCGCCCACGAGUGCCACUCCGGAGUCAGGCUUGUGCUUUCGCGUUGGUGUCGCUCAUGCCAGUUGGACUUGCUCUCCACGGACCAGUUGGUGUGGAGGUAGCUGGAUAGUCGCAACGGGGCAGGGACGGGUGUGUUCACACUCCCAGGGACGGGUAUGCUUAUAGUCCCGAUUGGAUUGGGUCAGAUUGACAUUUCCUACAGUUGGUUAGUGUAGAGCAUGAUAGUGUAGUAAUUGAUAGCGGUAGAGCGUACUUCCUGCUUUUCCUACUAUUCUUGCUCCCUUCUGUAGACUUAGUGGGUGACCGAUGUUGUUUUGGGCGGUACCCACUGAGGACUACUUGUUUUUACAGUAGUUCUCACGCCCAGUUGUUACUCUUGUUUUGCAGAGCCAUAGGUUUCGGCUGCUGCGCCUUCCGCGGAUCAGGAUCGAGGCAAGGGCGUCGCGAGUUAGAGCCCUACCUGACGAGCAGAGUUAGAGGCACCCCUACUGCAGGUAGAUGUUUUGUUUCGAGUUUAUGUACAUAGUUUACCUAACUCGCCAGUGCGAGUAACUCUGUAUUUUGGAUUUGAGCUAUGUAUAUGAAACUCAAUUUGUUUAGCUUUUGUUUUCUCUAGCAGCUCUAUACUACUGUUUGUAGUAUUGUAUGUUUACAGGUACAGCUGUCGCUUCGUAUACAGGGAAAAUUCCUUUGUAUACGGCGGAUUUGUCGGCGUGCCCGGGGAACGUGUAAUCCGGGGCGUGACAGAUUAAGUUGGUAUCAGAGCUUUGCUAUAGGUCAUUGGGACCUAGGAAACCUAAGUUGGCAAACCUUAGGAAGCAAGACGCGAGAGGCGUGAUUUAAUUGCGGAAGUCGAUGAUUAUUUGUUCUAACUCCUCCUAAAGCGGAGUGAGUGACUGAAGGAGUUCCUGUUUUGGCCUGAGAAAUUAUGUUGGCUGCAGACGACAUAAUUUUGGAGGAAAACAGGGACCGCCUUCCAGACUUUCGUUGAUUGGGUCGAGAGUGUUGUAUUGUAUCUGACCCCGACUUGUUCUUUGCAGCUAUGUAUCGUCGCCGAGGUCGACCUUCGUUACGGGAGCGCGCCGAGUUGGCGCGAGAUCGUGCUGGACCUUCUGAGAGACCCGAGCAGAUGGAGCAGAGUGCUCGGCAGGAGCAGAGUGACAGACCGGAGGCGAGUGCACCCCCUGUUGUAGGGCCGAGUGCGCAACCUGAGGCUGGCGCACCCCCUGACCUAAGUGCACAGUUGGUUGCCCUGACUGAGGUGACGAGGCAGCAGGGGGAGUUGUUGCAGAGGUUGUGUGAGAGAAUAGCUCAGUCACCGAGUUCAGCACCGAGUAUACCAGAGCAUACUGUUCCCCCACCGACUACUCCAGUGUCAGCUCCAGCCGCAGCUAUGCCCCCACCAGUGGAGCUUCCUACAGCGCCAGUUGCGCCUGCUAGGGGACCCGUACAGUUGACAGAGGCCGAGCAGGAGCGAUGGACGGAGAGGUUGGCUCGUUUCCGCUGAUUUGAUCCACCUACUUUCGAUGGCAGCGGCACUGAGGCCUGGGUUGUUGAGGGAUGGGUCAGUGCUAUGGAGAGGUUAUUCGAGGAUCUGUACGUUCCAGAGGGGGAGCAGGUACCUUUGGGAGUACAUUGUUUGUCAGGUGAUGCACGUGAUUGGUGGCGGAGAGCGAGGCGAGACCAGGGACUAGUGGCGGCACAGCUGAGGUCGGAUGAGUUCUGUGGAAUGCUGUAUGGGAUGUAUUUUCCCAACAGCAUGAAACAGAAGAUUGAGGAGGAUUUAAAGAGGAUCCAGCAGGGCGAGCGGACAGUUCAGGAGUAUGUUCGGGAGUUUACUAGACUCUUGAACUGUGUUCCGUUCGUGGCCAGAGACGAGGCACAUAGGGUCUACUUGUUUGAGCAGGGUUUGACACCCGACCUAUUCAGGUUUGUUAGGGCGCAGAGGUCGAGGACUUUGGACGCGUCCAUUGAGCAGGCACUAUGGGAGGAGAGAGGAGAGGUGUCACUGCGAGAGAGGGCUCAGGGGCCGGGACAGAGUCAGGACAGGAAGCGCCCAGCUCCAAACGACGGAGGACAGUCGAGUAGCAGGCGUCCGCCGAGACCUCCACGAUCGCGUUCUCAGGGUCGUGGGUUCUCGGGACGUCAGCGAUCCAGAGACUUCCGUCAGCGAGGACAGCCAGAGAGGACGCCGCAGUGUGUGAUCUGCGGAGGACCACACUGGCCCAGACAGUGUGAGCAGAGGGAGGGCCGGUGCUACGGAUGUGGUCAGCCGGGACACAUGAGGGCAGCUUGUCCCAGAGCAGCAUCUCCAGCACCAUCAUCUGCUUCAGCUCCACCAGCACCUCAGCAGACUUAUAGAGCAGCACCGAGUUACCGCCAGGAUGAUAGAUCGUCCAUGCCGCGACAGAGUGAGCGUCGACAGCAGGCUCCGAGUGGUAGAGUCUAUGCAGCUCAGGUGGAGGACUCUACAGCAGCCGACCGAGUGGUGGCAGGUAUCACUUUGAUUUCUGGCAUUAGAGUUCACACUCUUUUUGAUACUGGUGCAACGCAUUCCUUUGUUAGCCGAGCAUUUGCAUUGUUGCAUGGUCUAGAGUUAGGGGCAUUGUCACAGGCACGAGAGGUGCAGAUCCCGGACCAUGUUUUACAGGUUGCGGAGUGUUGUUGGUCGUGUCCGGUGCAGUUGGACUCGUGGGUCAUGCCCGCAGACCUGUUGGUGUUAGGGCAGCUGCAGGACUUCGACGUCGUGCUCGGUAUGGAUUGGCUUGCGCGGUACUAUGCUACGAUCGACUGUGGAGCGAGGACGGUGACGUUCCGCGAGCCAGGUCAGGAAGAGUUCACAUUCAGAGGCUGCAGGAGUACGCUAUUUGCCACCUGGAUAUCUUCGGCGAGGGCUCGACAGAUGCUGAGUAGCGGGUGUAUCGCUUUCCUAGCGACUGUUGUGGAGGUACCUACGGCGGCGCCGGGACUUGAGGACAUCCCAGUAGUCCGCGAGUUUCCGGAUGUAUUUCCCCCUGAGUUGACGACGUUGCCGCCGGAGAGGGAGAUUGAGUUUGUGAUUGAUGUGGUUCCUGGAACUGCACCAAUCUCAAAGGUACCUUAUCGGAUGGCGCCGGCAGAGCUGAGAGAGCUAAAGGCACAGCUUCAGGAUUUGAUGGAUAAAGGGUUUGUGAGACCCAGUGUGUCGCCUUGGGGAGCGCCAGUGCUAUUUGUAAAGAAGAAGGAUGGUUCACUCAGGUUAUGUGUGGAUUACCGGGAGCUGAAUAAAGUGACCAUCAAGAAUAAGUAUCCACUGCCGCGCAUUGAUGAUUUAUUUGAUCAGUUGCAGGGAUCCUUCGUCUUCUCGAAGAUUGAUCUCUAGUCAGGUUACCACCAGCUGAGGGUGAGGGCCGAGGAUGUUCCCAAGACGGCUUUUCGGACUUGGUACGGGCAUUAUGAGUUUACAGUAAUGCCUUUUGGAUUGACAAAUACCCCUGCCGCAUUCAUGGAUUUGAGGAACAGAGUGUUCAAGCCGUUCUUGGAUAGAUUUGUGGUAGUCUUCAUCGACGACAUCCUGAUAUACUCCCGGAGUGAUGCUGAGCAUGAGGAGCACUUGAGGAUUGUGCUACAGCUUCUGCGAAAGAAGAAGCUGUAUGCCAAGUUGAAGAAGUGCGAGUUCUGGCUUCGGGAGGUUGCUUUCUUGGGCCACGUGAUUUCAGCCGAGGGCGUAGCAGUGGACCCGAAGAAGAUUGAGGCGAUUCGAGAUUGGCCUAGACCGACGACGGUGACUGAGGUACGGAGCUUCCUGGGACUGGCAGGAUAUUACCGUCGGUUUGUGGAAGGCUUUGCGAAACUUUCCACACCCCUCACACGCUUGACGCGAAAGGGGAUUCGUUUUGUUUGGAGCGAUGACUGUCAGAGGAGCUUUGACGAGUUGAGACUGAGGUUGACAUCAGCUCCUAUCCUUGCCCUUCCGGUGAUGGGGGAUGGAUUUGUGAUCUACAGUGAUGCAUCGCACAGUGGACUUGGUUGCGUGCUGAUGCAGCAUGGUAGGGUGAUUGUUUAUGCUUCACGGCAAUUAAAGGAUUUUGAGAAGAAUUACCCUACGCAUGACUUGGAGCUUGCCGCGGUGGUUUUUGCUUUGAAGCUCUGGCGGCAUUACCUGUACGGCGAGCACUGCGAGGUUUUCACCGAUCAUCAAAGUCUCAAGUAUCUGUUCACACAGAAGGAGCUGAAUCUGAGGCAGCGCCGGUGGUUGGAGUUACUGAAGGACUAUGACAUUAGUAUUCAGUAUCAUCCCGGCAGGGCGAAUGUGGUGGCAGAUGCGUUGAGCAGGAAGUCAGUGCAGAGCCUGAGUUUGAGGAUUACUGAGGAGAGACCCCUACUCGAGGAGUUACAGCGGCUGGGACUCGAGAUAGUACCCCCUGGGUUUACGGCGAGGCUGACGUCUCUAGUAUUACAGCCCACUCUGUUGGAUAGAAUCCGAGAGAAACAAAGUGGAGAUCCGUACUUGUUGAGGAUUAGAGAGCAGUUAGACAGGGGGCAGGCUGAGGGAUUUGCUUUGGACAGUUCGGGAGUACUACGGUACAGGGACCGACUGUGUGUGCCUGUGGAUCCGGAGAUUCGAGCGGAUAUUCUGAGAGAGGCUCAUUGUUCCCCUUAUACGGUUCACCCUGGGGGAACCAAGAUGUAUAAGGAUCUUAAGGCACAGUUUUGGUGGCCUGGAAUGAAGAGGGACAUUGGCAGAUUUGUGGCUCAGUGUUUGACUUGCCAACAGGUGAAGGCCGAGCAUCAGGUGCCUGCUGGCAAGCUUCAGAGUCUGCCAGUUCCCGAGUGGAAGUGGGAGCACACCACGAUGGACUUCGUCGUUGGAUUGCCUAGAGCGCAGGGUGGCUACGACGCGAUUUGGGUGAUAGUGGACAGACUGACCAAGUCUGCUCACUUCCUACCGGUUCAGACUACCUGGUCCAGGGAGAGACUCGCGCAGCUAUACUUGGAUGAGAUCGUUAGGCUGCACGGCGUGCUAGUGUCGAUUGUAUCAGAUAGAGACCCGAGGUUCGUAUCCCAGUUUUGGAGGAGCCUUCAGACAGCCUUGGGUACACAGCUACAUUUCAGCACAACAUUCCACCCACAGACAGAUGGUCAGUCAGAGCGGACCAUUCAGACUCUAGAGGACAUGCUGAGGGCAUGUGUCCUGGACUUUGGAGGAGGGUGGUAUCGACAUUUGAGACUUGUUGAGUUUGCGUACAACAACAGCUAUCAAGCGAGCAUUCAAAUGGCUCCGUUUGAGGCGUUGUAUGGACGCAAAUGUCGAUCCCCCCUAUUUUGGAGUGAUGUGGGUGAGCGGAGGACAUUUGGACCAGAGAUUCUACUUGAGGCUGAAGAAAAGGUGAGAGUCGUUCGACGACACCUUUUGACAGCACAGAGCCGACAGAGGAGCUACGCCGAUACCAGGAGACGAGACUUGGAGUUUCAGGUUGGAGAUCAUAUUUUUCUCAAAGUCUCGCCGUCUAGAGGGAUACGUCAUUUUGGAGUACGUGGAAAGCUUAGUCCACGGUUUGUUGGCCCUUUCGAGGUAUUGGAGAAUAUCGGACCGGUGGCUUACAGGAUAGCUCUAUCCCCGCGACUAGCUGGCAUUCAUGAUGUAUUCCACGUCUCGGCGCUAAGAAAGUAUGUUUUCGAUCCGUCUCAUGUGAUUGACUUCACCCCACUAGAGAUUGGUGAGGACUUGAGGUACGAGGAGCGACCGGUGCGAAUUCUUGCUCGUGAGACGAAAGAAUUGCACAACCGGAUCAUUCCGUACGUGAAAGUGCAGUGGAGCAAUCACGAGGAGCGGGAGGCGACUUGGGAGCCUGAGAAGGUGAUGAGGGAGUCUUACCGCGACCUGUUCGUUGCCCCGUGUUGAGGUAUGUGUUAAGUUUCGAGGACGAAACUUUUUUGUAGUAGGGGAGGAUGUAGUAUCCUUAAUUUUGUUUUUAUUUGAGUUGGUAGACUAGUAGUGGAUAAGGAUGCCACGUGUAACUCUAACCUCAUGCAUCCUUAUCAAUUGAGUUUUAACUGAGGUGUAUAGUUUUUUUAUUUUCAUUUUUACUUCUUCUCUCUUUCUCCAUUCGGCCGAAGUAAGGAGGAGUUCGGGUUGUGCCGCGGAGCUCGAUUUCGACGCCGACGAUGCGCCGCGAAGCCGUUCGAAGGUACGGUUGGGCUCGUAGUGUUGUGAGGAGGCUUGGCAAGGGUCUAUUUCCGCCAUUCUCGACGUCGCGCCGGAUUGGAUUUAGCUUUCGAGGUGGGUUACAUCGGCUUUACUCCUAAGUUAUUAUUGGUCGACAUGUAUAGAUCUUGAUUUCGGUCAUUAAUUUAGCUCAAAUUCAUGGACUAUAUGUAGAUUGUGAAAUCUGAAUUUUGGAGCAUAUUUUAUAAAUUAAGUAGAUCAUACAUAUUGGACUUGGAAAUUGAAUUAGGAGAAAACCUACGAUUUGGACCUGUCACCAGUUUUAACUACCUGAUUUAGCUCUAGGAGCCGUUAGAAAAUUGUACUGUCGCAGUUAUUCGAGACGAGUACUCCAGGUAGUUUAGAAUGUAUUUACACUCGUGCUCGUUCGCCGAGUGGAUUUUUACAGGGUCGUUCAGGUUGUUUCGGACUGUUGGGUGCCGUCAGAGUUGACGGUGGACCCGUAUCGCCUUUUUGGGCGUCAGAUUGUGCCGAGGGCACUUACCUGUUGGUUGUUAGACCAUUUUGAGUCGAUUACUUGACUUUGGCUAGUUGGAGCCUGUUUGAGCUCGACAGAGAUACGCUGCAUACUCGGUUGGGUAGCGCCCACGAGUGCCACUCCGGAGUCAGGCUUGUGCUUUCGCGUUGGUGUCGCUCAUGCCAGUUGGACUUGCUCUCCACGGACCAGUUGGUGUGGAGGUAGCUGGAUAGUCGCAACGGGGCAGGGACGGGUGUGUUCACAGUCCCAGGGACGGGUAUGUUUAUAGUCCCGAUUGGAUUGGGUCAGAUUGACAUUUUCUACAGUUGGUUAGUGUAGAGCAUGAUAGUGUAGUGAUUGAUAGCGGUAGAGCGUACUUCCUGCUUUUCCUACUAUUCUUGCUCCCUUCUGUAGACUUAGUGGGUGACCGAUGUUGUUUUGGGCGGUACCCACUGAGGACUACUUGUUUUUACAGUAGUUCUCACGCCCAGUUGUUACUCUUGUUUUGCAGAGCCACAGGUUUCGGCUGCUGCGCCUUCUGCGGAUCAGGAUCGAGGCAAGAGCGUCGCGAGUUAGAGCCCUACCUGACGAGCAGAGUUAGAGGCACCCCUACUGCAGGUAGAUGUUUUGUUUCGAGUUUAUGUAUAUAGUUUACCUAACUCGCCAGUGCGAGUAACUCUGUAUUUUGGAUUUGAGCUAUAUAUAUGAAACUCAAUUUGUUUAGCUUUUGUUUUCUCUAGCAGCUCUAUACUACUGUUUGUAGUAUUGUAUGUUUUACAGGUACAGCUGUCGCUUCGUAUACAGGGAAAAUUCCUUUGUAUACGGCGGAUUUGUCGGCGUGCCCGGGGAACGUGUAAUCCGGGGCGUGACAUCGUAAGUUUCUUCUCCUCCGCUUAUUGAUAUGCUUAAACUCAGCGGGUGGCCCCGCCUGACCUGGGGUCGCGGUCCGAUGCGGCCCGCCCUUUUCUUUUACAUCGUAAAGGGGGAGGCGCGCGCUCGGGGUGGGGGUCCUCUCGGGGGCCGUUCGCCGCUGGGGCCGGAGGCACGGCGCUCGGCUCGCGGUCGCNCUCCCUUCUGUAGACUUAGUGGGUGACCGAUGUUGUUUUGGGCGGUACCCACUGAGGACUACUUGUUUUUACAGUAGUUCUCACGCUCAGUUGUUACCUAUGUUUUUGCAGAGCCACAGGUGCCGGCUGCUGCACCGUCUGCGGACCUGGAUCGAGGCAAGGGCGUCGCGAGUUAGAGCCCCUACCCGACGUGCUGAGCUAGAGGUGCCCUACUGCAGGUAGAUGUUUUGUUUAGAGUUUAUGUACAUAGUUGACUUAACUCGCCAGUGCGAGUAGCUCUGUAUUUUGGAUCUGAACUAUGUAUAUAAAACUCUGUUUUAUUUAGCUUCAGUUUUCUCUAGCAGCUCUCUACUACUGUUCGUAGUAGUGUUUGAUUUACAG
Molecule: long non-coding RNA, 8820 nt
Filed under: Ananas comosus (pineapple)
Lineage: Eukaryota; Viridiplantae; Streptophyta; Magnoliopsida; Poales; Bromeliaceae
Description: long non-coding RNA (ACOM_LNC037914)
Source: RNAcentral